This 429-nucleotide ribosomal RNA is filed under the name Chloroflexota bacterium. Its description in RNAcentral is "Chloroflexi bacterium partial 16S ribosomal RNA". It matches the Rfam family "Bacterial small subunit ribosomal RNA", at positions 355 to 776 of the family's 1533-position model. Lineage: Bacteria; Bacillati; Chloroflexota. The record is from RNAcentral.
UGGGGAAUAUUGCACAAUGGGCGCAAGCCUGAUGCAGCCAUGCCGCGUGUGUGAAGAAGGCCUUCGGGUUGUAAAGCACUUUCAGCGGGGAGGAAGGCGGUGAGGUUAAUAACCUCAUCGAUUGACGUUACCCGCAGAAGAAGCACCGGCUAACUCCGUGCCAGCAGCCGCGGUAAUACGGAGGGUGCAAGCGUUAAUCGGAAUUACUGGGCGUAAAGCGCACGCAGGCGGUUUGUUAAGUCAGAUGUGAAAUCCCCGGGCUCAACCUGGGAACUGCAUCUGAUACUGGCAAGCUUGAGUCUCGUAGAGGGGGGUAGAAUUCCAGGUGUAGCGGUGAAAUGCGUAGAGAUGUGGAGGAAUACCGGUGGCGAAGGCGGCCCCCUGGACAAAGACUGACGCUCAGGUGCGACAGCGUGGGGAGCAAACAGG